GAUGUACGCUGGCGGCGUGCUUAACACAUGCAAGUCGAACGAUGAAGCCCAGCUUGCUGUGUGGAUUAGUGGCGAACGGGUGAGUAACACGUGAGUAACCUGCCCUUAACUCUGGGAUAAGCCUGGGAAACUGGGUCUAAUACCGGAUAGGAGCGUCCACCGCAUGGUGGGUGUUGGAAAGAUUUAUCGGUUUUGGAUGGACUCGCGGCCUAUCAGCUUGUUGGUGAGGUAAUGGCUCACCAAGGCGACGACGGGUAGCCGGCCUGAGAGGGUGACCGGCCACACUGGGACUGAGACACGGCCCAGACUCCUACGGGAGGCAGCAGUGGGGAAUAUUGCACAAUGGGCGCAAGCCUGAUGCAGCGACGCCGCGUGAGGGAUGACGGCCUUCGGGUUGUAAACCUCUUUCAGUAGGGAAGAAGCGAAAGUGACGGUACCUGCAGAAGAAGCACCGGCUAACUACGUG
RNAcentral lists this ribosomal RNA (466 nucleotides) under uncultured bacterium. Its description in RNAcentral is "partial 16S ribosomal RNA". It matches the Rfam family "Bacterial small subunit ribosomal RNA", at positions 28 to 507 of the family's 1533-position model. The record is from RNAcentral.